This 292-nucleotide ribosomal RNA is filed under the name uncultured Methylotenera sp. RNAcentral's name for it is "partial 16S ribosomal RNA". It matches the Rfam family "Bacterial small subunit ribosomal RNA", at positions 505 to 796 of the family's 1533-position model. Lineage: Bacteria; Pseudomonadati; Pseudomonadota; Betaproteobacteria; Nitrosomonadales; Methylophilaceae. The record is from RNAcentral.
GUGUCAGCCGCCGCGGUAAUACGUAGGGUCCAAGCGUUAAUCGGAAUUACUGGGCGUAAAGCGUGCGCAGGCGGUUUUGCAAGACCGAUGUGAAAUCCCCGAGCUCGACUUGGGAACUGCGUUUGAAACUGCCAGACUAGAAUAUGUCAGAGGGGGGUAGAAUUCCACGUGUAGCAGUGAAAUGCGUAGAGAUGUGGAGGAAUACCAAUGGCGAAGGCAGCCCCCUGGGAUAAUAUUGACGCUCAGGCACGAAAGCGUGGGGAGCAAACAGGAUUAGAAACCCCAGUAGUCC